CAGGACACUUCUCAACAAGUACUAAGGAAGCACAAUCAGAAAGUAACUCUUUACUUUGUUGUGCCCAUUCAGUGCAUUUAGCCAUCAACCUCUCCUUCUGAACAUCACAUUUGUUCACUACUGAUUUCAAAUCAUCUCUUUGUUUCACAAGAUCAUCAAUUUGUAAAGAGAGUUUGUGUAUCUGAGCAUUUGUAGUUGAAGAUUCACUGUCAAUUUGGGUUAGUGUACUCUUUGCACUCCUAAGCUUGUUCAUAAUAUCAGUUUUCGAAUAAAGAAGUUGGUUGUGCUUCCUUAGUACUUGUUGAUAACUGUCUU
RNAcentral lists this microRNA precursor (315 nucleotides) under Medicago truncatula (barrel medic). Its description in RNAcentral is "miR5557 stem-loop (mtr-MIR5557)". The record is from miRBase by way of RNAcentral. Lineage: Eukaryota; Viridiplantae; Streptophyta; Magnoliopsida; Fabales; Fabaceae.